GUCGCACCUACCGAUUGAAUGGUCCGGUGAGGCCUCGGGAUUGUGGCCUGGUCACUUUAUUGGGGGUUGGCUGCGAGAACUUGUCCAAACCUUAUCAUUUAGAGGAAGGUG
Molecule: ribosomal RNA, 111 nt
Filed under: uncultured eukaryote
Lineage: Eukaryota
Description: partial small subunit ribosomal RNA
Rfam family: Eukaryotic small subunit ribosomal RNA
Source: RNAcentral